Molecule: long non-coding RNA, 1835 nt
Organism: Lolium perenne
Lineage: Eukaryota; Viridiplantae; Streptophyta; Magnoliopsida; Poales; Poaceae
Source: RefSeq, a predicted model, not a curated record
CCUAUCGUAGUCCGACCGGAGCAAAUCAUCGGACCCAUUCCCUACCGUCCAUCUUUGCUUCAUCUGAUGGCCCACGAAUAGCUUGAUUCAUCACUAAAAAAAGACAUUUAUUUCCGCACUAUGCCAGCCAGGUUACCCCAAAUCACGCUGCUAAUUAAGGAUGGCUUUGGCUUCUUCCCCAAAUCGCCUCUCCUGCGAUGCGCCGCCGAGAUCGCCGCAUAUGCCAGCUCCACCGCCGAGCUCGGCGCCUAUUCCAGAUCCACUGCGUCGUGCCCUACCAUCCCGUUCCCUGCGCCACUUCUACCUGGAUUGAUACCCGCGUCGGCCGUCGGCACAUGAUGCCGUUCCGCCAUGUUGAAGCGUGGUCAAGGCCUCCCUGAGUGCCUGCGGCCGGACAUUUGAUUCAAGGCAGGGAAUGGCUUCGUUCCUUGCAGCGGCAGGCUAUGUCCUCUACCAGCGCGUCACCAGAUCUUCUCCUCCAGGGUGACCACUUCUUUACCAAUCUCUAAAUAUGUCAUCCCGUUGUUCCCUUUGUUUACUGAAGUACCAUGCAAAUUGCUGCUAGGAUUAGACUCUUCUGCAAUUUUGAAGAUUAAGUUUGAAGGCUAGCAUUUAGUUAAUAGAUCGAAAAUUCAUGCAACCUGAUCUUGGAAGCAAACAUCCAAUUAGUUUCUAUAUGCUUCCAAUGCGCUUCAGUUAUGUAGUGAUAGCAUCAUAUUUUGUCUUCAACAUGCACGCUUCAUACUUCUUCUGUAUAUGCUUCUCAUCUACAACUAGAGUGGCACUAUGACCCCGCUUCUUGGUCAAUGUUAUUGUGUGCUUCCAUGCUUUCCUAACACCAUUACUGACAUGCAAGAUUUGUCAAAUCCACUUUUAGUACAUGUAAGUCUAUGCUUUCAUUCUAGUUUAUUAUAUUUUCAAAAUACUAAAGGCCCAAAAUCACAGUUUCUACUAUUUUUAAGUACAAGCCUGCAAGCAUAGCACUUGAUCCGCUGAUAUUAGAUCCUAAUAUGAUAUUACAAGCUGCUACUGCUAGAGUGUAUUUUUUAAUUAAAUGAUUUUUGUUGUUUGACUUAGGAUGAUGAAAAUUCAAAUUAUUUUUUGGUCACAAAUUUCAUCACCCAGAUAUUUGCAGCAGCACGGUAAUUUUCGUUUAUAAAUUUAUAUGCUUCCACUCCCAAGUGUUGUCAUAGAAAUUUUAAUUGCUACAUAGAUUCAUUGUUUCGAAGAUGUGCAGUAUGUGCUUAGUUGAUUGGCAAUACAGUUAUGCUUCUAAAGUUUGUAUUCCUGCUUCUUAUAUCUCCUACAUAUGCUUCUGAAGCAUUAUAUUUUGUAUUCCUGCUUCUUAUAUCUCCUACAUAUGCUUCUGAAGCAUUAUACACUAAUGAGACAGUGGGUUUACAUCCACACAAAUUGGCGGUAACAAUAGGAUCAUGAACAUAUUUUUUUGCAAACAAUCCCCGACAUGGAUGUCAGGCGUUUAGCGAAGAUACGUCAUGAAGAUGGAACCAGUGGACCAAUAUGUGUCGCCAUGGUCUAUGAUGAGCUAGCUGGCAUGGUGAAGGUUCCAGUGCAACGAACCGCGGCAAACGUGUUGGUAUGGUCUGUGAUGAUGUAGUUGCAUUAUUUUGCAAGCGGCCUUCAAUGGACAGGCGUGGUGCAGUCUCCCCCGUCGACGGCUACAGCAUCAAACCGCACCAAACAUCAACGCAAGCACAUCACUCGAUUGUUCAAACAAUGUAGAUAUAUACGAAAACUCUAUCCCCCUAUGUAUGAAGCAAGUGACAUGAACAAUGUAACAUAUGCAUUUUCAAUUAUAAUAUUUUUUCAUUGAA